This 460-nucleotide ribosomal RNA is filed under the name uncultured bacterium. RNAcentral describes it as "partial 16S ribosomal RNA". It matches the Rfam family "Bacterial small subunit ribosomal RNA", at positions 338 to 795 of the family's 1533-position model. The record is from RNAcentral.
CCUACGGGCGGCAGCAGUGAGGAAUAUUGGUCAAUGGACGAGAGUCUGAACCAGUCAAGUAGCGUGAAGGAUGACUGCCUUAUGGGUUGUAAACUUCUUUUAUAUGGGAAUAAAAUGUUCCACGUGUGGGAUUUUGUAUGUACCAUAUGAAUAAGGAUCGGCUAACUCCGUGCCAGCAGCCGCGGUAAUACGGAGGAUCCGAGCGUUAUCCGGAUUUAUUGGGUUUAAAGGGAGCGUAGGUGGAUUGUUAAGUCAGUUGUGAAAGUUUGCGGCUCAACCGUAAAAUUGCAGUUGAAACUGGCAGUCUUGAGUACAGUAGAGGUGGGCGGAAUUCGUGGUGUAGCGGUGAAAUGCUUAGAUAUCACGAAGAACUCCGAUUGCGAAGGCAGUUCACUGGACUGCAACUGACACUGAGGCUCGAAAGUGUGGGUAUCAAACAGGAUUAGAUACCCCUGUAGUC